RNAcentral lists this long non-coding RNA (601 nucleotides) under Cyanistes caeruleus (blue tit). Its description in RNAcentral is "lncRNA (ENSCCEG00000012554.1)". Lineage: Eukaryota; Metazoa; Chordata; Aves; Passeriformes; Paridae. The record is from RNAcentral.
AUAUGAGCGGGCAGGAAGCGCCGGGGAGGGAGCGAGGGGAGGGCGCCCGGAGCCGCUCGGCGGGCAGGGCCGGCAGACAGACAGACACACGGACAGACAGACACACACACAGACAGCUCGGCAGCAGCCACAGCAGCGACAGCAGCCACAGCAGCGACCGUCCGUCCCCACGGCCAUGGGGCUCGGCCGGCUCCCCGCACCCCGCCAUUGGCUCUUUUGGUGGGUCCUGUGCCCCGCGCAGGCUGUGGCUGAGCAGGGGAGGUCCUGCAGCCCUGUCACACUGUGCUGAGUGUGGCUGCUCUCCCUGCACAACUCCUUCAGCUCAUUUCGUGUGAGAUCUCUCUCUUCCAAAUCACUGGCACCUAAAAUGCUGCACAGGUUAUGCUCCAUAAACCAUCUCCAGUUUUUCUUCUAUUCACUGUGAUGGAUGAAACACUGCCCAGUAGCUGGCUUCACAUUCAAGAAGCACAGAGGAGCUGCUGCACUCAAAUCUUUCUGAAGCUACUUUCUCUCAUGGCUUAAAUGUUCCUGAAUGCUUUUGUUUUCCAGGCAGAUCUGAUUAGUUUGAGUUGCUUGGAGUGAACAUUUUAAUAAAUCUGAG